GAAACGACUGCUAAGACUGGAUAGGAGACAAGAAGGCAUCUUCUUGUUUUUAAAAGACCUAGCAAUAGGUAUGCUUAGGGAGGAGCUUGCGUCACAUUAGUUAGUUGGUGGGGUAAGGGCCUACCAAGACUAUGAUGUGUAGCCGGGCUGAGAGGUUGAACGGCCACAUUGGGACUGAGACACGGCCCAAACUCCUACGGGAGGCAGCAGUAGGGAAUUUUCGGCAAUGGAGGAAACUCUGACCGAGCAACGCCGCGUGAACGAUGAAGUAUUUCGGUACGUAAAGUUCUUUUAUUAGGGAAGAAUAAAUGAUGGAAAAAUCAUUCUGACGGUACCUAAUGAAUAAGCCCCGGCUAACUAUGUGCCAGCAGCCGCGGUAAUACAUAGGGGGCAAGCGUUAUCCGGGAAUUAUUGGGCGUAAAGGGUGCGUAGGCGGUUAAAUAAGUUUAUGGUCUAAGUGCAAUGCUCAACAUUGUGAUGCUAUAAAAACUGUUUAGCUAGAGUAAGAUAGAGGCAAGUGGAAUUCCAUGUGUAGUGGUAAAAUGCGUAAAUAUAUGGAGGAACACCAGUAGCGAAGGCGGCUUGCUGGGUCUUUACUGACGCUGAGGCACGAAAGCGUGGGGAGCAAACAGGAUUAGAUACCCUGGUAGUCCACGCCGUAAACGAUGAGUACUAAACGUUGGGUAAAACCAGUGUUGAAGUUAACACAUUAAGUACUCCGCCUGAGUAGUACGUACGCAAGUAUGAAACUUAAAGGAAUUGACGGGACUCCGCACAAGCGGUGGAUCAUGUUGUUUAAUUCGAAGGUACCCGAAAAACCUCACCAGGUCUUGACAUGCUUCUGCAAAGCUGUAGAAACACAGUGGAGGUUAUCAGUUGCACAGGUGGUGCAUGGUUGUCGUCAGCUCGUGUCGUGAGAUGUUGGGUUAAGUCCCGCAACGAGCGCAACCCUUAUUGUUAGUUACCAGCACGUAAUGGUGGGGACUUUAGCAAGACUGCCAGUGAUAAAUUGGAGGAAGGUGGGGAUGACGUCAAAUCAUCAUGCCCCUUAUGACCUGGGCUACAAACGUGAUACAAUGGCUGUUACAAAGGGUAGCUGAAGCGCAAGUUUUUGGCGAAUCUCAAAAAAACAGUCUCAGUUCGGAUUGAAGUCUGCAACUCGACUUCAUGAAGUUGGAAUCGCUAGUAAUCGCGAAUCAGCAUGUCGCGGUGAAUACGUUCUCGGGGUUUGUACACACCGCCCGUCA
RNAcentral lists this ribosomal RNA (1247 nucleotides) under Sandal spike phytoplasma. Its description in RNAcentral is "bacterial SSU rRNA". It matches the Rfam family "Bacterial small subunit ribosomal RNA", at positions 153 to 1399 of the family's 1533-position model. Lineage: Bacteria; Bacillati; Mycoplasmatota; Mollicutes; Acholeplasmatales; Acholeplasmataceae. The record is from RNAcentral.